Molecule: long non-coding RNA, 122 nt
Organism: Xiphophorus hellerii (green swordtail)
Lineage: Eukaryota; Metazoa; Chordata; Actinopteri; Cyprinodontiformes; Poeciliidae
Exons: 3
Source: RefSeq, a predicted model, not a curated record
ACAAUGAGUAAAUUAUUAUUAUUGCUCUUAAGAAUACAAAAUCAAGCAUAAGCUUAUUCUACAGUUGUGCAUGUACUAUAAGUAUCAAAAGGAAAAUAAAUGAUUGCUACACACAUGAUUUU